GGCAUCCUCCUUACAGUUUGCACUGUCUUCUUCCCAGAUUGAGGCAGGAUGAAAAGCUGAUUUUUUGGUUAGCCUUCUGGCAUAGUGUGGUGAUGCAUUUAGGGUGCUUUUGACGCUUUUACAAUUUCAGGUGGUCACUCAGAAAGAAGCAGCUGGGAUUCAAAUCAUCACUGAAGGUAAAAGCCCUCACAGACAUGAGGACACCAAAGUCCUUCAGAGCAUGGCCAUAGGAAAUGCUCGUCACCAUUUCAACAGCUCUAAAACUGGAUGUUGCAGGUGUCUCACACUGACAGCUGCAAUUUUACUGAUGCUGUGCAGCACAGGAUAUCCACUCUCAUUACGUUUCAAGACACAGGAAAUGCAACUCAGUAUCUGAAUGCAUAAGAAGGAAGGAACCUUUUAAAGUUCAAGGAUUCAAGAAGCCUGUUGACAGCAAUACACACUGGUAUAUAAAAAUCUAUUACAGACUUUAAUACUUACAUGUGCUGGCUUCCAAGCCCCCAAAAGCCCCCACUGAGGAGGUUCACAAAUGGGAAGUGAAGAAUAACAGGCACUUGAAUCCUUAUUGUGAAGACUAACUGAAGAGAAGUAUGCAAAACAUAAGGUGCUACACAGAAACCUUUGAAUCAGAAUGGGUAGCUACACAAAUAAUAAACAAAAUAAAAAUA
Long non-coding RNA from Cyanistes caeruleus (blue tit), 668 nucleotides. RefSeq lists it as uncharacterized. The record is from RefSeq and is a predicted model, not a curated record. Lineage: Eukaryota; Metazoa; Chordata; Aves; Passeriformes; Paridae.